ACCAUAUGAAAGUUCCCAGGCUAGGGGUCAAAUAUCAUGCAAAGCUUCCAAUUGACGAGUAGAGUGGGGCAGGCAGAGUGAUGGCCUUGAAGAGGUCCAUGUCCUAAUGGCUGGAACCUGUGAAUUUGUUACCUUCCAGAUCAAAGAAACUUUGGAUAUAGGAUUAAGUGAAGGAUCUUGAGAUAGGGAGAUUAUCCUAAACUAUCAGAGUGGGUCCAAGGUGAUCACGAGGGUCCUUAUGAGAGGGAGGAAUGGGGCAGAGUUGGAGAAGGAGGGUGACAAAGGAAGCAGAGGAGGUCUGAGUGAUUCAGGGUCAUGACCGAGGAAUGGAGGUGGCCCCAGAAUCUGGAAAAGGAGAGAAAGUGGAUUCUCUUCCAGAGCCUCUGGAAGGAAUGCAGCUCUGACCUGUUUUGGACUCUGACCUCUAGAACUGUGUUUUUUCCAACCACUGAGGGUGUGGUCAUUUACUACAGCAGCAAUAGAAAAUUAAUGCAGAGAGUUUAUAAGUUGAUUUGCUCUCCCAUUCUCCAAUAAAUGCUACAGUCUCAGUAAAAACAUAAGAUGGAAAUUAUAGAAGAAAAAAGCCCAAAGACACAGGGGCACCAGCAAGUUCUCAGAUACACAGCUUAAGAAGCACACUUUAAGGAGGCAUCUGCAGACACAGUUCCUCUGUCAUGUGUCACACUUUGUGAUUUUUAAACCCGGGUCACCAGGGUACAGACCAUUCUUAUGAACAAAGCUUAGGAGACACCACACAAGAAGAGGUGAUGGGGAAAAGUUCUAAGGAAAACCUGACAUGUGAUUCUACAACUUUACCAAGAAAUAAAACCCUAAGUGUUUUUUUUCUGAACAUCCUUGGGGCUAGGGGAGAGUUUGCAGAUAUGCAGUCAUCCUGAUGGCCAAGCACCCAGGCAGGAGCUGACCGGGUGCUAGGGACUGAAUGUUUGUGCCCCUUCAAAUGUAUACGCAGAGGCCCUAACCCCCAAGGUGGUGCUAUUUGGAGGUGGGGCCACAGGAGGUAAUUAGGUUUCAAUAAGAUCAUGAGGGCAGGAUCCCCCAAUCACUGGAUUAGUGUCCUUCUAAGAAGAGAAAGAGAGAAAAACUCAGUGAAAGGCAGGGUCUCCAAGCCAGGGGCAAUCAGCUGGCACCCUGAUCUUAGACUUCUGGAGAAAUAAAUCCCUGUUGUUUAAAGCCACCCUGUUUGGGGUACUUCACUGCAGCAGCCCCAGCUGCGAUCGGAAGCCCUGCAAGAGGUGUGGAGGGAAAAGCUGGAAGUCAUUAAACUGAGGUGUGUGAGGGUAGCCUUAGCAGCAACUCCAAGGUGCCCCAGUGAGGGGUACUUGAGCCCCAGAUAUCAAGAAACAAUAAAAGAGGAGUGUGGUAGUCCAGGCAGGAAAUACCUGGUUUUUAAUUAAAGUAGAAGCCAAGGAGAGAGAGGAAUGAUUUGAGAAAAGCAUCAUGUCAGAGACUACCCUCUGACUAGAGAUGUGGAGAAAAAUGUAAUACACUUUUUUAAAAAAAAAAAAAAAUCCCCUGCAACUUCAUGAGUGGAGACUCUGCAAUAAGCACGAUUCAGAAAGGGGAGAUAAAUGGCUGUGGCAUUUCAGUUGUGAUGGAAUAUUUAGCUCCAAAUGUCUUCCACGAUGACAGGACAUAAUCUAUGAAACUCGGUGAAAGGCAAUUUGAGAGGAAGACAAGUAAAUUUGUCUCUCAUUUAUAUGCAUGCUGCAGCUGAGCUCAAGGAAAAGGGUAAUGUGUCUAAGUGUGCAGAUGUUAACUAGAACCUGGGACUGAGCUCUGCCACUCCUUCCAGGAGCAACGGGAAGGAGGGGUGGGGAGGGGCUGGGAGCAUCUAUGGAACAGAAAUCGUAGCGAAGAGCGCCUUUUAUGGGCAGAUUUUGAACUGUUUACAACACUUACGUCAUGGAACUCUGUGGAAUAUUGUCACCACCGUUUACAAAACGCAGCUGCCAGCCGGCCACAUGGCUAACACGUGUCCCUCACAGUUACUAGACGCUUAUCCGUCUCCUCAUCUCAGCAUCCCACAUCCUCUUCACAUCCACAUGGUCACCGGUGGCACCUGUCACUUCUUUCUGUGUCCUCCUGGUCCCAUCCAACAUGCACAUUCACUACCUGUCUAUCAGCUGCUCCUCCCCAGAAGUCUGGCUAAAAGUCCAGUGAUAUUAUUUCACGCAGUCUCUCCACAUUUAUGAAUGCACUCGUUGACAUAUUCCAGCAAGCACAAGAUGGGCAAACCAGGCACUACUUGGAAAAUCAGAAUCCUCACACUACUUCUACCAAACCCUGCAUUUAUAACAUUACACGUGUAUAUCUCUGAGGCUCCCCUGGUGCUCAGAGGCAGAUCCUCAUGACAGAGAGAAAGGACACAUUUCAGCAAUGUCUCCAGGGUGGCCUAUCUCUUUUUUUGUGAGUCUGUCUUUGAUUUGAUGCCAAGAAGAGCAAAAAAUUGCCAUUUUCUCUGAAUGUUUCCCCCAGGCUUAGUCUGCCUUUCUGUUUGCAAUGGAUUUUAUUUCUCCUACUAGAGAAAAAUGAGAUAUUCAAAUAUACUACUUAUUAAAGAAUACAUCUACUUCUUGGAAGGUAUGCAUAAGGUCGCAGCCUAUUAAAUCAGCUUACAUAAAGAUAAGUAAGGUCCUGUUGGUGACGUGUCAUGGGUUGGGAGUUAGUUCGUGGACUCAGUACUCCACCCCACCUGCUAGCCCUUGAAAAGGUUUAAGGUAAGUGUUGAAGAGCACGCACUUGGAUGUUCUGAUGCUCUGGGUUUGAAUUUCGGCUCUAAUUCCCACCAGCUGGGUGGCCUGUCCAAGUGACUAAACUUUCCUAUAUCUCAAUUUCCCCAUCUGUCCAGUCAACGAUAACAGUAUUUUGACUCUCAGUUGGAAAACCUGAAGUCCUCUAGUUGGUCAACCUGAACUUCAACACACAAUGAUAAGGGGAGUUGAUGGGUGUAUCCCCCUCAAAUAUAAAGGGACACACGCUAACUGUGUGAGUCUAAUGGGUGUUAUACAUCGUGUGAGGGAGAUGGGCUCCAGGACACUAGAUGUGGUGAGUGGGGGAGUGGAGAAGGUGCAGUGCCCCCUUGAGGGGCCUCUGCAAAGGGCAUCCACGAAGCCCUGGACAGAGGAUGGGAUAGGAGCAGAGGGACCACAGAAGAAGCACAGAGAGGGCCAGAAACCAAGUGUGGGGCUCUCCCCUCAACUCCUCAGGCUGCCAGGGAGUUGAAACGGGCACACAGGAAGCUUAGGUCACCUUCAGAGGCACUGUACCAGUGCUUAGCCAGCAAAACAUGAGAGAUGAGAAGUUAGUCCACUGAGAAGACACACCAAACAAGCAUGAUGGUUCAUCCAAGCUGACUGACCAUGGAGGCCCCGGGCUUUGUACUGGAAGGGGAUAAUGAGGGGGACAGUCUUUCCUGGAGCAAGUGCACCCAUCUCCAGGGCCCCCGCAGUUUUCCUGUGUAUUCAUUUUAGAUAGUUGUCACUUGGGUUGCUUUGGGAAUAUAUAGUCUUACUUUUAAAUUCUCUUGGAAGAAACACCAAACAGCUUGGAUUUUAGUAGUGAUUUGAUUUGAAAAAAAGAAAAAAAAACUUCAGAUUAUGAAGAAAUAUGAACCCAGUUAUGUCAUGUCAUGAUUUCAUUUUAAAGUCUUGUUAUUUUUAUUAACAGAUUGACUGUUUUAUUAGCAGCUUUAUCACCAGAUGAAUAUUAAUUUCCUGUAUCUAUUGCCCAUGUUUCUAACUUCUCAAGUUUUUGAAUCAUGAAAGAAUGGGCAUCAUUAUAAGAGCUUUUUACUGGAAAAUGAAUGAAUGCAUAGACAUUAACUCUCAGAGCAUGUGUCACCUCUAACAAUGUACACAUGUAUCCAACUGAAGUAUUUCUGUAAAAUAGGAAACUAGUCAACUAAUUCUGUGAUUAGAAGCUGCAAAAUGCCUCUAAAAUAACUGUUAACACACAAGGGUCAAUAGAUGCACCCACAUUAAAAUAUAAGUUAAGUAUAACAAUCCAUUACAUGUAAUACAUAGAUUUUAGUUAAAUAUUAAUGGCAAUGCUUAUAUAAAUUUCAAAUUUACUGAUCUUAGCUUUUAUCAAAUCAGUAAUCAAAACAGUCACAUACUGCACCAGAAAGACAACUAAAAUGUAUAAAAUCAGAAAAUUACCCUUCCUAACUGUUUUCUCCUUGCAACAUGCUCAUUUGGAAUAAUAAGAAAAAAAAAAUCUUAAAAUCCGAAAAAUUUCUUAACAAUGCCCACAACAAAGUCUGUAUUAAUUAGUGUCCAUAACAUUCAUCAAACUGUGAGAUUAUGAUUUUAGUAAACAGAGAAAGCAAGUUAAUUUUUAAAAUCAUGCAGAAAGUAACAUAUGACUUUUGAAUGAACUUUUUUUUUAUUAAUCAGCAUUUCUUCACACUCAAUACAAGUUUAAAGAAGCAUGUGUGAAUGCUUACAAAUUUCUUUAACGCUUAUGGUGUAAUAGGGCUAAUUCUAUUGCUCCUGA
This 4515-nucleotide long non-coding RNA is filed under the name Sus scrofa (pig). Its description in RNAcentral is "lncRNA (ENSSSCG00050020914.1)". Lineage: Eukaryota; Metazoa; Chordata; Mammalia; Artiodactyla; Suidae. The record is from RNAcentral.